AUUGAACGCUGGCGGCAUGCUUUACACAUGCAAGUCGAACGGCAGCGCGGGCUUCGGCCUGGCGGCGAGUGGCGAACGGGUGAGUAAUGCAUCGGAACGUGCCCAGUAGUGGGGGAUAGCACGGCGAAAGCCGGAUUAAUACCGCAUACGACCUGAGGGUGAAAGCGGGGGACCGAAAGGCCUCGCGCUAUUGGAGCGGCCGAUGUCGCAUUAGCUAGUUGGUGGGGUAAAGGCUUACCAAGGCGACGAUCCGUAGCUGGUCUGAGAGGACGACCAGCCACACUGGAACUGAGACACGGCCCAGACUCCUACGGGAGGCAGCAGUGGGGAAUUUUGGACAAUGGGGGCAACCCUGAUCCAGCCAUGCCGCGUGCGAGAAGAAGGCCUUCGGGUUGUAAACCGCUUUUGUUCGGGAAGAAAACCUCUGGGCUAAUACCCCGGGGGGAUGACGGUACCGGAAGAAUAAGCACCGGCUAACUACGUG
This 484-nucleotide ribosomal RNA is filed under the name uncultured bacterium. Its description in RNAcentral is "partial 16S ribosomal RNA". It matches the Rfam family "Bacterial small subunit ribosomal RNA", at positions 29 to 507 of the family's 1533-position model. The record is from RNAcentral.